UGCAAGUCGAGCGGAAAGGCCCUUCGGGGUACUCGAGCGGCGAACGGGUGAGUAACACGUGAGCAACCUGCCCUAGGCUUUGGGAUAACCCCGGGAAACCGGGGCUAAUACCGAAUAUGACCUCCGAUCGCAUGGUUGGUGGUGGAAAGUUUUUCGGCCUGGGAUGGGCUCGCGGCCUAUCAGCUUGUUGGUGGGGUGAUGGCCUACCAAGGCGACGACGGGUAGCCGGCCUGAGAGGGCGACCGGCCACACUGGGACUGAGACACGGCCCAGACUCCUACGGGAGGCAGCAGUGGGGAAUAUUGCACAAUGGGCGGAAGCCUGAUGCAGCGACGCCGCGUGAGGGAUGACGGCCUUCGGGUUGUAAACCUCUUUCAGCAGGGACGAAGCGAAAGUGACGGUACCUGCAGAAGAAGCGCCGGCCAACUACGUGCCAGCAGCCGCGGUAAGACGUAGGGCGCGAGCGUUGUCCGGAUUUAUUGGGCGUAAAGAGCUCGUAGGCGGCUUGUCGCGUCGACUGUGAAAACCCGCAGCUCAACUGCGGGCCUGCAGUCGAUACGGGCAGGCUAGAGUUCGGUAGGGGAGACUGGAAUUCCUGGUGUAGCGGUGAAAUGCGCAGAUAUCAGGAGGAACACCGGUGGCGAAGGCGGGUCUCUGGGCCGAUACUGACGCUGAGGAGCGAAAGCGUGGGGAGCGAACAGGAUUAGAUACCCUGGUAGUCCACGCU
RNAcentral lists this ribosomal RNA (727 nucleotides) under Micromonospora sp. R19-25. RNAcentral's name for it is "bacterial SSU rRNA". It matches the Rfam family "Bacterial small subunit ribosomal RNA", at positions 56 to 801 of the family's 1533-position model. Lineage: Bacteria; Bacillati; Actinomycetota; Actinomycetes; Micromonosporales; Micromonosporaceae. The record is from RNAcentral.